UACGUAGGGAGCAAGCGUUGUCCAGAAUCAUUGGGCGUAAAGCGCGUGUAGGCGGUCCGGUAAGUCCGCUGUGAAAGUCGGGGGCUCAACCCUCGGAAGCCGGUGGAUACUGUCGGGCUCGAGUACGGAAGAGGCGAGUGGAAUUCCUGGUGUAGCGGUGAAAUGCGCAGAUAUCAGGAGGAACACCAAUUGCGAAGGCAGCUCGCUGGGACGUAACUGACGCUGAGACGCGAAAGCGUGGGGAGCAAACAGG
Molecule: ribosomal RNA, 253 nt
Filed under: uncultured bacterium
Lineage: Bacteria
Description: partial 16S ribosomal RNA
Rfam family: Bacterial small subunit ribosomal RNA
Source: RNAcentral